Molecule: non-coding RNA, 196 nt
Organism: Oryza glumipatula
Lineage: Eukaryota; Viridiplantae; Streptophyta; Magnoliopsida; Poales; Poaceae
Source: Rfam
CGUAAUUCUUGGUUUUUCAUAUCCAACGUUUGACCGUCUGUCUUAUAUAAUUUUUUUUAUAAUUAGUAUUUUUAUUAUUGUUAGAUGAUAAAACAUGAAUAAUACUUUAUGUAUGACUUAUCUUUUUAAUAUUUUUAUAAUUUUUUUCAAAUAAGACGGACGGUCAAAUGUUAGACACGGAAACUCAGGAAUUAAG